RNAcentral lists this small nuclear RNA (100 nucleotides) under Mus musculus (house mouse). RNAcentral's name for it is "U2 spliceosomal RNA". It matches the Rfam family "U2 spliceosomal RNA". From Rfam's summary of the family: U2 is a small nuclear RNA (snRNA) component of the spliceosome (involved in pre-mRNA splicing). Complementary binding between U2 snRNA (in an area lying towards the 5' end but 3' to hairpin I) and the branchpoint sequence (BPS) of the intron results the bulging out of an unpaired adenosine, on the BPS, which initiates a nucleophilic attack at the intronic 5' splice site, thus starting the first of two transesterification reactions that mediate splicing. Lineage: Eukaryota; Metazoa; Chordata; Mammalia; Rodentia; Muridae. The record is from Rfam by way of RNAcentral.
AUCGCUUCUCGGCCUUUUGGCUAAGAUCAAGUGUAGUAUCUGUUCUUAUCAGUUUAAUAUCUGAUACGUCCUCUAUCUAAGACUGAAGUGUGGACACUAU